This is a long non-coding RNA of Anolis sagrei ordinatus, 400 nucleotides long. RefSeq lists it as uncharacterized. The record is from RefSeq and is a predicted model, not a curated record. NCBI's taxonomy places the organism in Eukaryota, Metazoa, Chordata, Lepidosauria, Squamata, Anolidae.
CAAGCCCGGACUUUGUCCAUUUGAUCGUUGCAAAUGCAUUGGUCGUGAACUCGAUCAGUGUAUGAAUGAUUUUUCUUGCAAAGGAGAAGAGAAGUGCUGUCACUCUUGUUGUGCAAAGCGCUGUGCGCCACCAGAAAAAGUGAGACCUGGAAAAUGUCCUAUUGACCUCAUUAAAUGUGUCAAGGAAGAAGAGGAUCAAUGCAAAUACGACUCUCAGUGCCCUAAACCACAAAAGUGCUGCUAUAAUUUCUGUGCUCAUCGUUGUGUGAAUCCUGUGUAAAGAGCAAAUCUUGAUGGGCUGUGAUAUUGUGUCCUGAAAACAGCUCCCGCCCUCCCUCUUUUGGCUUCAAGAAAAAAAUCAGGCAUAAUUCUAAAAUAAACGUUGUUUAUGCAGAAGGAA